RNAcentral lists this ribosomal RNA (468 nucleotides) under uncultured bacterium. RNAcentral describes it as "partial 16S ribosomal RNA". It matches the Rfam family "Bacterial small subunit ribosomal RNA", at positions 28 to 507 of the family's 1533-position model. The record is from RNAcentral.
GACGAACGCUGGCGGCGUGCUUAACACAUGCAAGUCGAACGGUGAAGCUCCAACCUUCUUGAGUGGAUCAUUGGCGAACGGGUGAGUAACACGUGAGCAACCUGCCCCUGACACUGGAAUAAGCGCUGGAAACGGCGGCUCAUAUUGGAGACGAUAAGGUUCAGCAUAGGCACUUUCUGUAAAGGUCGUCGGUUGGGGAUGGGCUCGCGGCCUAUCAGCUUGUUGGUGAGGUAAUGGCGGCCGAAGGCGACGACGGGUAGCCGGCCUGGGAGGGCGACCGGCGACCAUGGGACUGCGAGAGGGACCAGAAGCGUACGGGCGGCAGCAGUGGGAAACAUUGCGGAGCGGCGGAGCGCCUGUGGCGGCGGCGUCGGGUGCGUGAUGCCGGCUUUCGGGUUGUGAACCUCUUUCAGCAGGGAAGAAGCGAACGUGACGGUACCUGCAGAAGAAGCCCCGGCUAACUACGUG